This 1426-nucleotide long non-coding RNA is filed under the name Strigops habroptila (Kakapo). RNAcentral's name for it is "lncRNA (ENSSHBG00005013734.1)". The record is from RNAcentral. Lineage: Eukaryota; Metazoa; Chordata; Aves; Psittaciformes; Psittacidae.
GGGGGGGGUUGGCUUUGCUUCCUCGACAUGCGAAGGGAAGGACCCGAGGUGAUUGCCCCGUGUAAUUCAGUGCCUGCCUUUUGGUUUUGUCUUCGUGCUCUUUGAUUGCUAGGACAUAGAGACUUUGUAGGACACCCUUGUCGACGUUCAACACACACCCCCCUCCACCCCCCCGAAGCCGAGGAGAGACCUCCAAAAAACCGAGGCCAAGGAAGAGAUUGAGGCUUGGUUCGGCUCCGUUCUUCUCUUCCGGGAGAACGAGCCUUUUGACGACAAAAAAUCAACGAAACAAUGGGGGUGGGUGGGGUUUUGGGGGGGUUUUUGGGGGGGGGGGGGGGAAGCCUUCCAAAUCCUCUCUCCCCUCCCCCCCCACCUCCUCCCCCCCCCCCCCCAAAUUUCGUACUUUAUUUUGCUAUCGCAGACUAAAAGAAGAAAGAGAAGAGGUUAUUUUCCCAUGGGGUUUGGGCAGGGAGCUUGGUUUUUGGGGAGCGGGGAGGGAGGGGGGUGGGUUUGGAGGAACCGGCCACCAAAUCCAUGGAAAACUGUGGAAAAUCCAUGGGGAACCAUGAAAAACCAUGGAAAAACCAUGGGAAACUGUGGAAAACUAUGGAAAAUCCAUGGAAAAACCAUGGGAAACUAUGGAAAAUCCAUGCGAAACCAUAGAAAUCCAUGGGAAACUCUGGAAAACUGUGGAGAACCAUAGAAAUCCAUGGAAAAACCAUGGAAAACCAUGGAUAACCAUGGAAAUCCAUGGAAAACUAUGGAAACCAUUGGAAACCCAUGGAGAACCAUGGAAAACGAUGGAAAACCAUGGAAAAACCAUGGAAAACCAUGAAAAAAUAGAGAAAACUAGGGAAAACUAGGGAAAACCAUGGAAAACCCCAUGGGGAACCAUGGAAAAACUAUGGGGAACCAUGAAAAAACAUGGAAAACUGGGGGAAAACCAUGGGGAACCAUGGAAAAACCAUGGAGAACCAUGGGAAAACCAUGGGGAACCAUGAAAAAACCAUGGAAAACUGUGGGAAAACCAUGGGGAAACCAUGGAGAACCAUGGAAAAAACCAUGGGGAACCAUGAAAAAACCAUGGAAAACUGGGGGAAAACCAUGGGAAACCAUGGGAAAACCCAUGGAGAACCAUGGAGAACCAUGGAAAUCUAUGGAGCCCCAUGGAGAAUCCAUGGAAAACCAUGGUCAAAAAGAGGGGAAACUCAUCAAAACCCACCCGAAACGCGAUGGUUCCACCUUGUUCUCGCCGUGGGGCCGAUGGGGUUGGUGGCUCUUGGUCGUGCGCUGAUGUUCCUUCAAGAAGAUGCCAAGCCAACGACAAAAGACAACUUGGGUGUAGGCCAUUACCUGUUUCUCAUCUGUAGUUACUCGAUGCUGUCAUGUACAUGACCGUUCUGUAGCAAUAAAUGUGCCAUUUUUA